ACAGGCACCUCUCCGUCAAAGUGUGUGUUCCCUUGAAUUUUUUAAUUUGUCUGGGUAGUUUCGUAAUUUCAGUAAUUUACAGCUCAGCCUUAUAGUUGAUGAUUCUUUCUGCCUUUGCCCAGCAUGUGGACUCCCAAUUCGUCCAAGAUAAAAACUCAUUCAACACAACUUGUUAGAACCAUCCACUUCCAAGUUUAGCAUUAACUGUCCCAAAUCUCAGCAGGCCUCACCUACUAAUUCAACCAAAUUACUGUUGUUAGCCUUUUCAGAUUCAGAUCUACCACAAAGAGCAGGUAUAUUCCAAUCAUUACAGCAUUUCACUUAAUUUAUUCUUUUGUGUUCUACUUUUUCUUCUUGUGCCAAAAAAACAGAUCUUUGGGUUUUGGACUUCAUUACCAAUGUUUUCUUCAGUUUAGUCUUAAGAUCCGGUUCAGAAAGGUGAAAACAAAUUGAGGUUGAGUUCUGAUUUGUUCUCUAUUUUUAUUAAUUUAUUUUGGAUUUAGUAUGCGAUUUUGAAGUUGUCUUCAUUUUUCCCCUGGUAUUUAACUUUCUCUAAAAAUAUUGGUCUUUAAAAGACUGAACCCAAUGGGUUAUUUAGAUUUCCAUAAUUUACUAGUAGAAUGAACAAUAAAAUUUGUUACUUACGGUGUGUUGACAUUUUUUUUUGGUUUGAAUGUUCUAAACGCGGUUCUCUUGUAGUAAUAAGCUUCUGAAAAAAUGGGUUCCGACCAAAGAAACAAACGGCCAUAUGUAGAAUAUACAAACUCUGACAAAAAUGUCAAAAGACGUGAUACGUAUAGGCAAAUAUCGCCUGAUAAAAAAUAGGCAAUGUUACUACACCGCCGCACCAAAGAACUUGAGCGAUAAAAAUGGAAUAGUUCCAUAAACUCGGUAGCUGCUCCGGAUAAAAGAGUAAUGUACCAAUGUCACCCUAUGAUUCUAAAACCUAUUUCUCUUACCAUAAGAGAGGCUUCUUCUGCUGACGACCAAGGUUAGACUGAUUUAUUGCUUUUUAUUUACGUUAUAUUAGUGUAGGAGAAGACUAAUAAAUAUUCAUAUUUUACUAAGUCAUACAUUUCUUCUUGCAUUUGCAGGUUGCAGCUCUAUAUAGCUGAGACUGCAUUGCCUGCUCUUUGAUGUCAAUUACUUGACAGUUGACAUCUUUGACUGAGGUCUUAGAAUUCUACUCAUUCCGGGGAAAUUACUCAGUCAACCCAAAGCAAGGUAGUAAUAUUCCAAUUCUCCAAAGUUAUAUGGUGAUUCAUCAACUAUAUUAUUUUGUUUGGUUGUUAUGAUAUCACUGUUGAGUUUAUGGAUAGUGAUUUUGAUAAUCUUGGAUUCUAUUUGAUGCCAACUACUUAUAUGUAUGUAACAAAAGCUCUGAAUAUGGAUAAUUUGACAAGGCUAGCGGCUUAUUUGUCAUGGGAAUGUCCCGUUGAGCCCCUAUGUUGCUGCCUUGAACUAUGUACAACAAUUAAUUUUUUUUCAUAUUCGGCCAAUAUUUUUAACACAACUGAAUCAUACGAAGAACAUUUCGCAAAAUUUGGUUGAAGCAGUGUUUGGUGUAAGGUAUAUAAACACAUAGAAGAGAGAAUAGGUUGUAGCUCUAUUUUGCCCUCAUUAGAAUGCACAUUGGUGCUGAGAGAAUAUGCAUGUUCCUUACCUACAUCUUGCAAUUAUUAUCUCAUAUUGUGUUCAUUGUUGGGGUUGAAUAUUUACACAUUCCUCCUCCUGAAAAUGUCCACUGUCAAAAGGUAUUGGAAGCUCUAAGAUUUUAGACAUGGGGCAAGUAAGUGAUAUCUGUAUGUGAUAUGAACUAAAUAAAUGAAUUACCAACAGUUAAUGACUUGAUUUACGAAUGACUUGAAUGACAAAAUACCGAACUAGAAUAGAAUGCAUGCCGCUCUUUUCUUAAUCUUAUUUUUUUAUGUCAUUUGAUGUCUCCAUGUGUUAUAUGCCUGAAACGACUAAGUAAUGUUUUAUUGUGUUUUUUUUUUACUGAUAUUCUCAAACAUACUUAUUUUUCAGUCAUAAAUUUGGUACAUUAUUUAUCAACGUACAGAAAUUUGGUACAAAAUUGCAUUUUCUGUACAGAAUAAUGAUGCGAAUAUAGAAAUAGACGAGGUAAAUAAAUAUCGUUCUGCUAGAUGGGUAUCACCUUCGGAAGCUGUAUGGCGUCUCUUUCGGUUUCAUAUUAGCAAAAUGUCUCCGAAUGUUUAUCGUCUUCAGCUGCCUAUGGUUCUCACACUCCAGUAGAAUUUUGGAAUUUUUUUACAAUUCAAAACAAAAUUUAUGUUCAACGGCUUAUCAAUUCUUGGUCCAAAUUACAUAUUCUCACCUACUACUUUACACUUAACUCUCACUUUGUUGUAUACAGAUGCCUUAUCAGAUUUGAAGUGCAACAAAGGUCGCUCAAAAUUUUUCCCGAUAGCCUACCGCGGUUGUAAUACUUGCAUUGAAGGCACAUUUUGAUGGUGUUUUACUGCAGUACAUUCUUCCACAUUUUGUGCAAAUAAGUACGUAGAUUUUUAUGAACUGUUUACUACAGUACAACGUCUCACAUUUUGUAUAAAUAGUAAGGCAAACUGACUCUUACCAGGGUAGAUUUUGGUGGUAUUAUUUACUACAGUACAAUCCUCCACAUUUUGUAUAAAUAACUACACAGGUUUUCAUGAACUAUUUACUAUUAGCUACGCAAACUAAGUCAUUUCAUCAGAACUCUAAUCCAACAGUAAAAU
Molecule: long non-coding RNA, 2738 nt
Filed under: Nicotiana tabacum (common tobacco)
Lineage: Eukaryota; Viridiplantae; Streptophyta; Magnoliopsida; Solanales; Solanaceae
Description: long non-coding RNA (NTAB_LNC016145)
Source: RNAcentral